Molecule: long non-coding RNA, 3156 nt
Organism: Oncorhynchus tshawytscha (Chinook salmon)
Lineage: Eukaryota; Metazoa; Chordata; Actinopteri; Salmoniformes; Salmonidae
Source: Ensembl
AAAGGUGGAUGUCUCUCCUUUAGUCAGACUGCCAGACUGUGCACCACAGAGCCAAUCAGGAGAGAAUACAUAUAGGUCAACGGUGCCAAUUGAAAGUCAAGGGUGUGUCUGUGUCUUUUGGAUGACUCCCUCUUUACAGAGAACCCCUUGUGGUUCAAGACUGCUCUGCGCAUGUCUGAAAGUGACAGAGCCAGCAGCCAAGAGAGUUUAUCACAGUAUGUCAUAAAAAAGUAUUACACUUAUGAAUGUAUUUAAAAUGCUAAUAUGUAUUAGAUCCAGUACAAUGGAAUAACUAAGACCUGAAUUUGAAUGCAGCGUGUUCAGAUUCCACCUCCUCUUUCUGUCCAGCAGGGUCAACCAAAAACACUUGGCCUGAUGGUUUAUGCAGAUACUGGGGAAGCAACAUAGAAAUGUAUUGAUCCCUUAAAGGAUUUUACUAUUAAAUGACCCAUAUCACAACCCUCAUACCUCUUCACAAAAAUGUACCUAAAUCAAUUUUGGAAAAAGGGUUUUACUCACAAAAGACGUAGGAAUUUAUUUUCCCAGUUAGAAGUAGUAGGCCAUGCAUCAAAUAACUAUUUAUCAGAAAAACGAACCCUCAAAUGCAAUAUUGCAUUUUGUAAGUUGUCUGCAGGUGGGUUGUUGUGAAUACAGUCAGAUAUCAAGUCAUUAUCAGGUUAUGUAAACUGCGUUCUAAUACUCAACGUAGAAGGAUUUGUCUUAAUGUACAGUAUAUGAAAGUGAUGCUAUGAAAAUGAUUCUUUCACGUUAUCAAGCUCACUGUGACUGACAAAUCACUGCCUAUUACUUUGAUUAAAAAGAUCAUAUGAAACAUUGUUUUUCAUGAGGCCUACCUGUGCGCCUUCCUUUAAGCACCUCUGUUCGAACGCCUAUCCUGUCCUUAAUCCAUACCACAUACAGCCAUUUGCGGAUCUUUUCAGUGUCCAUGUGAAAGAUAGUUAUUGCGAGGAUGGAACAUUUGUUGACAAAAAAAUAAAUAAAUUGUUAACACCCAUGUAAAAUGAAGCUUACAGAUUUAAGUCUAAUAGCAUGAGAUGAAAGUAGACAAACAUCAGAGUGUGCGAUAUUAAGGUAUAGUCAGUGGACAUUCUGAACCUUGUUUGAGGUCAGUAGGUCACAUGACCAAGGAGCUAUUGAAAUUCUACAUUUUGAAGAAUUCAUGUAAAACCAUGUGAGAUGAAAAUUGACAAACUAAAGGGUGUGCAAUGUGCAGGGCCACUGAGUGGACAUUCUGAACCUUGUUUGAAGUCACUAGGUCACAUGACCAAGGAGCUAUUGAAAUUCUACAUUUUGGAAAAAUUCAUGUAAAACCAUAUGAGAUGAAAAUGGACAAACUAAAGGGCGUGCAAUAUAGAAGGGUAGUCAGUGGACAUUCUGAAUGUAAAAUGUAAAAAAAAGUUUGUACUUUGUUUACGCUCCCUAACUAAUUCAAUUUAGGAAUACAAAAUGUUGCUCACAUUUCCACGUUUAUUAGCUUUGGAAAGCGAAUUAAUGUCCAAAUCGUGAAAAUAAAACCUGUGCAAUGUUGUGCACAUUUUUUUUUCAACAUCAUGACACUUAUUUGGAGUCUGUGGCUCAAGUGGUUUGAAAGCGCGAAUAUCCUAUUUGUCUUUACCUCGGUUGUCAUUGGGUGAGUGACUGACUUCACCUCAUAUUGUUUUGUCGGUAGCUACAGUGAGAGAUGCAGGUGUCCUUUUGGUUAGCGAACAAGAAAUGUGAAUCGCUUUGCUAGCUAAUUAUGCUGAACGACUGUUAUCCACAGUUAUGUAUUUGGUAUCGAUCAAAUGGGCAGGCAGGAAGGCAAGUUCACAUUCAGUUGUCAAGACGUGGGUUUGGACAAACAUGCAUUGUCAGGUAAACUGCAGAAGGAAUACCUUACUAUGCAUCCUUCCCAAACAUUCUAUGAAUUUAUGAACACUUAGAUAUGGCCAUUUUCAAGUUCUCAGAUAAAAAAAAGGUGUCAUAUUAUUCUUGGGGAUAUACAGUAUAUGAACAGAUUUUAAUAGGAUUUGAUGUUGCUAAAAUGCUGUCAGUUCCACUUUAAUAAUGACUUCUGUAUGUUACUCUUUCACUUAUUUACAAUAGAUCCUGAGGACAAACAUCCUUCUGCAUCAAGGUCAACUUUUGUUUCUUUUCAAAGGGCCACAUUUUUGCCCCUUGCUAUGUCUAUAUUUGUCCCUCUCUCACAGUGCUGAAUACAUGCUAAAUGUAAUAACAUUGUCCAGGUCCUUUCUCAUGUUCAGACAGACUAUAUCCCACUACCUAAACUUGCGGUCAGCCUACAGCUAAUUCAUCCCUGCAACAGACUGAGCUGACCACCAUGCACUCUGAGGAUGGAUCUACGGUCGACGACAUCUUCUACUCCAAGGCUGGGCAAUUCUGGUGGAGGUCAACGGCAGAGCGGAGGUUUGAAGCUGCUUGGUCGUCUCUCCCCCCAAUUAGAGGAGGAUCUCUGGUCAAUGAAAGGUUUACCCAAUUAAUUGUUCCCUUCGGACCAUCUCAGUCUCCUGGCCAGGUUCCAGCUGGACUGAAACCCUGUGUAAUUUGGGCUGUUUGUGAUCAAUUAAUAAUCAGGAGGACCGAGGUCAAGUAUUUAAAAAUGUUUGUUCAAACUGUACAUGAUUUUCCCAUGGUGUGAUUCCAUGUUUUAUAAGUUCAUAAUUGUACUUAAUUGGUUCCUUGGGCUCACAUGGUUGUUUCCUACCUGAAGAGAAACUACUCAUCCCAAGGUCCAGAGGGGAUGGGAUGUCCUCUGAAGAAUUGUUUUUGUUUACAUGAAGAGAGAGCAAAACAAACCAAAAAGGUUGAAUUUAGUUCAAAGUUGGAAUUUAUUUGACAAAUUCUCUUACUGUUGAGAUUUGAAUGCAUGAAGCUUUUAGAUUUUAAAAGUUAAUAUUUUGUGAACAAACUGAGUAAACAAUCUGCUACACUAGUAAAUUAGAACAUUUAAAUCUUUACAAACUGUGUUUGAUGCGUUUUGUCCCUCUGGCUUUGGGCCAGUCGUAGUAUUAUUUUUCAAAUGAUAGAAAUAUUGAAUUCAUAUUUUCCAUAUACCAAUAUCAGUUUGGCAGUAUUUUGGGAAGAUCUACAUCCUGUCUUGCCUGGCUGAGAUGGUGUUAAUCCGUGACAAGGACU